AAAGAGUCUACAUUCAGGAGGAAGUAAUCCCAGAAAAGGAAGAACAGGCAGAUCAAGAUGUGUAGCUCUGUGGCCGCCAAGUUGUGGUUUUUGACAGAUCGUCGAAUCAGGGAAGACUAUCCUCAAAAAGAGAUCUUACAAGCGUUCAAGGCCAAAUGUUGUGAGGAGGAACUGGACUUUAGGGCUGUGGUGAUGGAUGACGUGGUGCUGACAGCUGAGCAAGGAAACCUGGGUCUUCGUAUCAAAGGAGAACUAAUGGCUGCUUACCCUCAGGUGGUGGUAGUGAGAGUACCAACCCCUUGGGUGCAAAGUGAUGGUGACAUCACUGUUUUGCGCCAUCUAGAGAAGAUGGCAUGCAGGUGGAUGAACCGACCUCAAGCCAUCCUGAACUGUGGUAAUAAGUUCUGGACGUUUCAAGAGUUGGCAGGUCACGGUGUUCCUCUGCCAGAUACCUUCUCUUAUGGUGGUCAUGAAAAUUUUGCUAAAAUGAUUGAUGAAGCAGAAGUACUGGAGUUCCCAAUGGUGGUGAAGAAAACACGGGGCCAUAGAGGCAAAGCAGUUUUCUUGGCUUGCGAUAAGCACCAUUUGGCUGAUCUAAGCCAUCUUAUUCGCCGUGAAGCUCCAUACCUGUUUCAGAAGUGUGUUAAAGAGUCUCAUGGAAGGGAUGUACGUGCCAUUGUUGUGGGAGGCCGUGCGGUUGGCACCAUGUUACGCUGUUCAACAGAUGGGAGGAUGCAAAGCAACUGCUCACUGGGUGGUGUACGGAUGAUGUGCUCAUUGAGUGAACACGGGAAACAGCUAGCUAUCCAGGUGUCUAAUAUCCUGGGAAUGAAUGUGUGUGGCAUUGACCUGUUGAUGAAAGACAACGGCUUCUUCUGUGUCUGCGAGGCCAGUGCAAAUGUAGGUUUGAUAAGGCUUGUGAUCUGGAUGUAGCUGGUAUCACAGCAGACUAUGCCGCCUCCCUUCUGCCCUCUGGCCGGCUCACCUGGCGUAUGUCCCUGCUCUCCGCGGUGUCCAUGGCCAGUGAGACUAGUGAGCCGGAGCUGGGCCCCCCAGCCAACACUGCUGUCGACAACCUGAGCACAAGUUCCAGCUCUGUUGACAGCGACCCCGAAACCGCAGAGCGAGAGCUGCUCACCAAGCUCGCAGGGGGCCUAUUCAACGGAAACCAACUGCUAGCCAAUGAAAUCAAACUCCUGGCGGAGUGA
This is a non-coding RNA of Delphinapterus leucas (beluga whale), 1208 nucleotides long. The record is from RefSeq and is a predicted model, not a curated record. NCBI's taxonomy places the organism in Eukaryota, Metazoa, Chordata, Mammalia, Artiodactyla, Monodontidae.